UGGCAGUAAAAGUCGUAACAAGGUCUCCGUUGGUGAACCAGCGGAGGGAUCAUUACCGAGUUUACAACUCCCAAACCCAAUGUGAACGUUACCAAACUGUUGCCUCGGCGGGGUCACGCCCCGGGUGCGUCGCAGCCCCGGAACCAGGCGCCCGCCGGAGGAACCAACCAAACUCUUUCUGUAGUCCCCUCGCGGACGUAUUUCUUACAGCUCUGAGCAAAAAUUCAAAAUGAAUCAAAACUUUCAACAACGGAUCUCUUGGUUCUGGCAUCGAUGAAGAACGCAGCGAAAUGCGAUAAGUAAUGUGAAUUGCAGAAUUCAGUGAAUCAUCGAAUCUUUGAACGCACAUUGCGCCCGCCAGUAUUCUGGCGGGCAUGCCUGUCCGAGCGUCAUUUCAACCCUCGAACCCCUCCGGGGGAUCGGCGUUGGGGAUCGGGACCCCUCACACGGGUGCCGGCCCCGAAAUACAGUGGCGGUCUCGCCGCAGCCUCUCCUGCGCAGUAGUUUGCACAACUCGCACCGGGAGCGCGGCGCGUCCACGUCCGUAAAACACCCAACUUUCUGAAAUGUUGACCUCGGAUCAGGUAGGAAUACCCGCUGAACUUAAGCAUAUCAAUAAGCGGAGGA
This 627-nucleotide ribosomal RNA is filed under the name Trichoderma asperellum. RNAcentral describes it as "eukaryotic LSU rRNA". The stretch from base 239 to 392 matches the Rfam family "5.8S ribosomal RNA". The record is from RNAcentral. Lineage: Eukaryota; Fungi; Ascomycota; Sordariomycetes; Hypocreales; Hypocreaceae.